UGCAUCUGAUACUGGCAAGCUUGAGUCUCGUAGAGGGGGGUAGAAUUCCAGGUGUAGCGGUGAAAUGCGUAGAGAUCUGGAGGAAUACCGGUGGCGAAGGCGUCCCCCUGGACGAAGACUGACGCUCAGGUGCGAAAGCGUGGGGAGCAAACAGGAUUAGAUACCCUGGUAGUCCACGCCGUAAACGAUGUCGACUUGGAGGUUGUGCCCUUGAGGCGUGGCUUCCGGAGCUAACGCGUUAAGUCGACCGCCUGGGGAGUACGGCCGCAAGGUUAAAACUCAAAUGAAUUGACGGGGGCCCGCACAAGCGGUGGAGCAUGUGGUUUAAUUCGAUGCAACGCGAAGAACCUUACCUGGUCUUGACAUCCACGGAAGUUUUCAGAGAUGAGAAUGUGCCUUCGGGAACCGUGAGACAGGUGCUGCAUGGCUGUCGUCAGCUCGUGUUGUGAAAUGUUGGGUUAAGUCCCGCAACGAGCGCAACCCUUAUCCUUUGUUGCCAGCGGUCCGGCCGGGAACUCAAAGGAGACUGCCAGUGAUAAACUGGAGGAAGGUGGGGAUGACGUCAAGUCAUCAUGGCCCUUACGACCAGGGCUACACACGUGCUACAAUGGCGCAUACAAAGAGAAGCGACCUCGCGAGAGCAAGCGGACCUCAUAAAGUGCGUCGUAGUCCGGAUUGGAGUCUGCAACUCGACUCCAUGAAGUCGGAAUCGCUAGUAAUCGUGGAUCAGAAUGCCACGGUGAAUACGUUCCCGGGCCUUGUACACACCGCCCGUCACACCAUGGGAGUGGGUUGCAAAAGAAGUAGGUAGCUUAACCUUCGGGAGGGCGCUUACCACUUUGUGAUUCAUGACUGGGGUGAAGUCGUAACAAGGUAACCGUAGGGGAACCUGCGGUUGGAUCACCUCCUUA
RNAcentral lists this ribosomal RNA (911 nucleotides) under Shigella flexneri. RNAcentral describes it as "bacterial SSU rRNA". It matches the Rfam family "Bacterial small subunit ribosomal RNA", at positions 622 to 1533 of the family's 1533-position model. The record is from RNAcentral. Lineage: Bacteria; Pseudomonadati; Pseudomonadota; Gammaproteobacteria; Enterobacterales; Enterobacteriaceae.